GGGUGAUUUAGGACCAUAGAAUGUUUGAACUGGAUACAAACACAUCUCCUGAGAAACAUUUCGCAGAAAUUCUGAUAGCAGCUGUAUGAGUUUCUGUUUCCUCCGAAAUUAAGAAUGCUGGAGAUUGGCAUGUCGUCUGGGGUAUCUGACCGAAUGGAGAGGGAAGACACAAUGUUACUGCCAUCAAGAGCACCAUAAUCAAAUGGCCCAGCCAGAGCACCUGAAACUGAAGACGGCAGUCAAGGAGGCUCACCCAUGGGACCACAAUUUCCCAGAAAGUUUUUCAGAACCUCACUGGUAACUUUGAACAGAUAACCGAAAAUUAUCAGACAUGUAAGGAAAACCACCAACACCAACAGUUUGCAUUUGUGGAUGCAAAAUGAACAAAUCUUUUGGAAUCUCUAAAAAGACACAAAGAGUUUCAUUCGAGCUCAAGUUGGGGGGACUGCCCGGGAAACUUGCUCUUCACAGGGAAAAAAGUGCUCAGGAGAGUGAAAAGUUUUACAGGGUUGUAUGCUUUUUCACAUUUUGUGAAAGGUCAGAAGGUUGUAAGUUAACAUAUAGGCAGGAAUCGCAAGAUUUAAUGUCAAGGGGGUAGGGGCACUGAUGGAUAUCUUAAGGACAAGACGGUUUUCCUGUAUGUACUUGUUUGCAAGGCAGACCUACGAUGUCUGCUUGGCGGGCCAUAAGGCACGCUUUUGGUUUAAACAAAGCUUAUGUACGUCACACUGACUUAGAAAGAAAUCUAAAUGCCUUCCUUUAUAAAUCAGGCCUUUAUGAGA
Long non-coding RNA from Herpailurus yagouaroundi (jaguarundi), 782 nucleotides. RefSeq lists it as uncharacterized. Lineage: Eukaryota; Metazoa; Chordata; Mammalia; Carnivora; Felidae. The transcript is spliced from 2 exons. The record is from RefSeq and is a predicted model, not a curated record.